ACACUCCUACGGGAGGCAGCAGUAGGGAAUCUUCCACAAUGGGUGCAAACCUGAUGGAGCAAUGCCGCGUGAGUGAAGAAGGUCUUCGGAUCGUAAAGCUCUGUUGUUAGAGAAGAACACGUGCUAGGUAACUACUAGCGCCUUGACGGUAUCUAACCAGAAAGUCACGGCUAACUACGUGCCAGCAGCCGCGGUAAUACGUAGGUGACAAGCGUUGUCCGGAUUUAUUGGGCGUAAAGGGAGCGCAGGCGGUCUGUUUAGUCUAAUGUGAAAGCCCACGGCUUAACCGUGGAACGGCAUUGGAAACUGACAGACUUGAAUGUAGAAGAGGAAAAUGGAAUUCCAAGUGUAGCGGUGGAAUGCGUAGAUAUUUGGAGGAACACCAGUGGCGAAGGCGAUUUUCUGGUCUAACAUUGACGCUGAGGCUCGAAAGCGUGGGGAGCGAACAGGAUUAGAAACCCGAGUAGUCC
This 470-nucleotide ribosomal RNA is filed under the name uncultured organism. RNAcentral describes it as "partial 16S ribosomal RNA". It matches the Rfam family "Bacterial small subunit ribosomal RNA", at positions 333 to 796 of the family's 1533-position model. The record is from RNAcentral.